This 327-nucleotide ribosomal RNA is filed under the name uncultured eukaryote. RNAcentral's name for it is "partial 18S ribosomal RNA". It matches the Rfam family "Eukaryotic small subunit ribosomal RNA", at positions 1470 to 1796 of the family's 1831-position model. The record is from RNAcentral.
CCCUUAGAUGUUCUGGGCCGCACGCGCGCUACACUGAACAGUUCAACAAGUCUUAACCUUGGCCGAUAGGUCUGGGUAAUCUUUGAACGCUGUUCGUGAUUGGGAUAGACCUUUGCAAUUAUGGGUCUUCAACGAGGAAUUCCUAGUAAACGCAAGUCAUCAGCUUGCAUUGAUUACGUCCCUGCCCUUUGUACACACCGCCCGUCGCACCUACCGAUUGAAUGGUCCGGUGAAAUCUUCGGAUCUGAGAGAUGUCUGAUUAAUUUCGGACGCCUUUUGGAAAAGUUGCUUAAACCUUACCAUUUAGAGGAAGGUGAAGUCGUAACA